Molecule: long non-coding RNA, 4490 nt
Organism: Schistocerca serialis cubense
Lineage: Eukaryota; Metazoa; Arthropoda; Insecta; Orthoptera; Acrididae
Exons: 5
Source: RefSeq, a predicted model, not a curated record
GGCGUAGCUGCGUCGCCGCUGGCUCUGCUGGCAUCAAACGGGGCCUCCGUGCUGGACUGCGUCUGCAGCCACGUCGGCCGCGGUGAGGGAGAGGUGUUUUCCUGCAGCUGUCAGCGCAGGGUGUAAGCGAAUAACACGAAGUCAAUCGCUGCGAAAUGUGAUAGACAGGAUGCAGGAUCCAACUACUCGCCAGAUCCUACAUCACCGAUGCAAGUUCCUGAAAAGGAUGUGAUGACCUCGACACGCCUUGCACCGCGGUGCCGGUUGUGGCGCACCCGGCACAGAGUAGCUGGUGUCACGGACCACCGUCGCCUGCAGAGGGAGACCAGCAGCCCAGAGACGAGGAGGGGCGCGGCGGCGCCCUGGUGGCUGUUCGCAGCAUCACCUGGACCUCUGGCAGGGGACUCAGCGAUGGCCUCGCGUGCCUCGUCGCUGCCGACUGCACCAACCCCUGCUCCGUGCACAGCUGCGGUCGACGUGCCAGCAGACGCAGUCCAGCACGGAGGCCCCGUUUGAUGCAAGCAGAGCCAGCGGCGACGCAGCUACGCCCGCUGGACGCGUCGUCGGCUGUCGAAGCUGACUGAGGUGGCGACACACGCAGUGCGCGUCGCACGGAGAACAGUCCCAGUACAGCGACGAGCGAAGCGGAAGUCUUUCCGCAGGAUGAAUAAACCACCGGAUCUCAGCCUCAUUCAAUUUUCCUUUCAGAAUGACCUGCUGCCAACACACAGUCGUAACAGAAAAUUAUUCGUUACUUUUAUGUGUACUUACUUAUACUCUACGCUUUCAGAACGACAACGACUUUAACUAAAAGUUUUGUGGACCAUGUCCAGAAAUUCUGGUUUACUAUUCCGAUACCAAAAUCGUCAGGCCAGCCCUUCCUUCGCAUGAGCCGAAGGAUUAGGACCACUGCCCAGCGCGAGACAGAAUGCCAGGAGGAGGGGCUGUGGGAACGUGACGCGCUGAGGAGUGUGCAGAGUCGCAGCAGAGAAGAAUGUGGAGUAAUUCUAGAAACGGCCAGGGCUGCAAAGUGGGAAAACAGUUGACACGUGCGACUCUGACAAAGCACAGAGUGUUAUUAGCCGAUGCAUGGGAAUGAAACUGGUUGGAGGACAGAGAAACCACAGGAAGGAGACAAGGUGUCGGUAGGGGACGCCUUAUCGCAGGUUGUGGAAGUCAAAACCUUGCCCGCUCUGUAGUGCAGGAUUGGCGGUGAUCUGUGGCCAACCUGACGGCAGAGCACAACCCUGGUGCUGACGACCCUUACCUGAUACCGUGGUGACACGACGCCAUCGUCAGCUGCGACUGCAGAGAGCACAGUGAGUUUGAACAGUAGAUCAAUGGUAACCCGUCUCCAGAUAAACAGAUUUGUUUGAUACCUCAGAUCGGUGGUCGGGUUGCUGAUACGCCAUCAUCCACGCGAGCAGCUGCAGCAGACCCCAGACGUGAGUCGGUGGGGAAAGUGUUAUGCUGUGUGGGACAUUCAUCUGGGCGUCCUCGAGACCUGUGGCAUCAUGAAAGCUGUUCACUUGGGCAACAUUACUGCGGACCACCAGCACCCACUCAUGAAUGGUGUUUCCUUAACAGCAAUACCAUCUUCCAGACGAACAACUGUCUAUGCACAAUACUGAAAUUGUCCUAUAGUGAUUUCUCUGCUCUCAUCCCGAUGCUUCGCAUCUCUGAAGCUAUUGGGUCUCAGGCCAACCCCACAAAUAACUGGCCCAUAAUUUACAUUUAUUGCGUGACCUGUGCGCAUACGUCUGCUGCUGUACACCUCCGUAAACCUACCGUGGGUUUGUCGAAGACAUGCCAUCCUGAAUGCCGGCUGUAUUGCGUUCCACAGAUGGACCAACACGCCAUGUGUCUCAUACAUUUACACAUGGUUAAAAUAUUUGAUCGGCUUGCUUACGAUUUCGUCGGAUUUGGAUUCUAUAACACCAACACUUCAUGGUACUCAUCAUUUUCACUAGUUCAUAAAUAAUGUUUUAUUUCUAUUUUCCACAUAAUUUGUUAAUAUUCAUGUUAAUUUGUAAUUUAGCAUUUAACAUGUCCAUUUUCUGUAUGUGAAUUGUAAACUGUGACAUAUUGUAUAGUGUAUAUAUUAUUCGUCCGUUUUGUUACAGUCCUAGUGACAAUUUUUUUUCUCAAACUGAAUCAAUAGAUGCGAGUUGCUGUUUUUUUGAGUCGUACGAUACCAUUUUUGUUUUCGUUUGUGCAGUACCUCAUUUUUUGCACAUGAACAUGGGUUUUCAUUGUACUCAUCCAUUAUAUCUGGAUUUUAUUCUAUGUCACAUUUAUAAGAAUAUUCGGUAUGCUUUCUAUGUAAAAGUAUGGGCAGCCUAGAAAUCCAGCAAAGCUGGUAAUUUUAACGAACGAAAAUGAAUGAGAUGUUACAUCUCGUAAACUGAAAACAAUUUAAUGAAAUAAAUAAUUGUAAGAACUCUAAUUUCGUUGAGACCAUCACAAGAUCACAGAGAAUAUUUUGUUUUAAUGACUGAAGAUAUACACUGAAGAGCCAAAGAAACUUGUACACCCGACAAAUACAUAGUGUAGGGCCCCCGCGAGCACACACAAGUGCGGCAGCAAGGCGUGGCAUGGCCUAGACUAAUGUGUGAACUGGUGGUGGAGGGAACUCAAAUCAUGAAUCCUGCAGCGCAGUCGAUAAAUCCGAAAGAGUACGAGGGGGGGGGGGGGGAGAUCUCUUCUGAACAGCACGUUGCAAGGCAUCCCAGAUAUGCUCAAUAAUGUUCGUGUCUGGGUAGUUUGGUGGACAGCGGAACAGUUCAAAGUCAGAAGAGUGUUCCUGAAGCCACUCUGUAGCAAUUCUGGAUGUAUAGGAUGUCGCAUUGUCCUGCUGGAAUUGCCCAAGUCUGUAGGAAUGCACAAUGGAUAUGAAAGAAUGCAGGUGAUCAGUCAGGACGCUUACAUAUGUGUCACCUGCCAGAGUCGUAUCUAGACGUGUCAGGGGUCCCAUAUCACUCCAACUGGAAACGCUCUAGACAAUUACAGAACCUUCACCACCUUUAAAAGUCCUCUGCUGGCAUGCAGAGUCCAUGAAUUGAUGAUGUUGUCACCAUAUCCGUACACGUCCAUCCGCUCGAUACAAUCUGAAACGGGACUCAUCCGAUUAGGCAACACGUUUCCAGUCAUCAACAGUCCAACGUCGGAGUUGAAGGGCCCAGGUGAGGUGUAAAGCUUUGUGUUGUGCAGUGAACAAGGGUACAAGAGCGGGCCUUCGGCUCCGAAAGCCCAUAUCGAUGAUGUUUCGUUGAAUGUUUCGCACGCUGACACUUGUUGGUGGUCCAGCACUGAAAUCUGCAGCAGUUGGCGGAAGGGUUGCACUUCUGUCACUCUGAAUGAUUAUCUUGAGUCGUCGUUGGUCCCGUUCUUGCAGGAUCUUUUAGCGGCCCCAGCGAUGUCGGAGAUUUGAUAUUUUACUGGUUUCGUGACAUUCACAGUACACUCGUGAAAUGAUCGUACGGCAGAGUCCCCGCCUCAUCGCUACCUCGGGGAUGCUUUGUACCAUCGUUCGUGCACCGACUAUAACACCACGCUGAAACUCAUUUGAACCUUGAUAACCUGCCACUGUAUCAGCAGUAACCGACCUAACAACUGCGUCAAAACUUGAGUUAUAUAGGCGUUCCCGACCGCAGCGCCGUAUUCUGCAUGUUUACAUACCUCUGUAUUUGAAUACGCUUGCGCAUACCGGUUUCUUUGGCGCUUCAGUGUAUAUUGGUACAGGGGGAAACACUGUUCUCCGAAAUAUGUUACGAGAUUAUUAAUUUAUACACUGCACACGUUGGAUUCACAAAUUAUACAGCGAAGUAUGUUAUAGUAUAUACUACAUAAUACAGGGCUAUACUAUACGAUAAAACCGUUGGAAUCGACUGUUCAACGUGGAUGACCUAUAACUGUGAAGUAAAACUACAUAAUAUAUUUAUAUUUCAAAUCACAAUCCCAUUAGUUAUUGGUAACUAUCUUAUAGAUUUAAUAAAGCAUCCAACUACAGAAAAGUUUAAUUAUUUCUUGGCUAAAAAUACAUGGCAUUAACAGCUGGAGACGAUUACAGAAUGGAUCGCUGCUUGAUCCCUGAGCAGCUCUUUUUAGGUUGUAAGGUGGUUAUGUCAUUUUGAGUUUUUUGUGUUGUCGAUGUGCAUGCUAGAGAGAGAGAGAAAGAGAGCAUGUUACGUUACUGUUAAGCAAUCUUUGCUCCUGUCGUGGUGCGGUCUUUGCCUCUGCGCAGUCUGAUUCAUUCUUAGUUGAAGUGUGGUAGUUGAUGGACAUGUUCAGUGGUGCUGCGUCGACUUGUGAUGGAGUCUGUUGGAUGAAGGAAGAACGAUUGUAAAGGACAGCAAGGGUGAAUAUGAUGUAUAUGUUGGUUAGUCAUUGUUCACUUUGUUAAGCAUGGUACUGUUCAGACCAAUGUUAUGUGUACAGAUGACGCGAGAUUUUACUCUAUCUUUUUGAAUAAACACUUUUCUAAAAUCGUU